Long non-coding RNA from Felis catus (domestic cat), 574 nucleotides. RefSeq lists it as uncharacterized. Lineage: Eukaryota; Metazoa; Chordata; Mammalia; Carnivora; Felidae. The transcript has 2 exons. The record is from RefSeq and is a predicted model, not a curated record.
CCCACUUAAUCACCUACUUAACUUGAACAUGGAGUAAAAAAGGCUGGUUUUGUUUGGAAGGAGGUUGCAAAGAGCAUGGAUCUUCCAGCUAGCCACACCCCACACCCUCGUAGCUACAGAGCAGACCGGGUCUGCACCUGUGGGUGCUAAGACGCCGUGCUACCCGAAGAGGCAGAGGGGACACAACAGCCUCAGGACCACGCCGGGUAAGAAGCGAGAGGGAAAGUCAGCACAUCUCCGAAAGGUAGACGCGGAUUCUCCACACGCCUCCAGUAUCAGCUCAGUAUAUAAAGCUCACUUCUCACAAGACUACAGCUCACUCGCUGAGGAGAAGACAGAGGAGUUGGCAUCAUCGGCAAUGGUGUUUUCCCACACCAAGGGAUAAACACAUGGAACGCUUGGAGUCUAGGCAGCCCAAUCAGAGAGAUGCUGGGUGAAGGGACAGAGUAUGUGUGUGCGUGUGACAUCAAGGGGAGCUUCAGUGUCUCAGGGAUCAUUUAAAGCAGGGUGGGCCAUAGACAGUAAGUAAAUGAACGGUUGUGGCGGUGUACCAAUAAAACUUUAUUCAAGUACA